Molecule: long non-coding RNA, 213 nt
Organism: Terrapene triunguis (Three-toed box turtle)
Lineage: Eukaryota; Metazoa; Chordata; Testudines; Emydidae
Exons: 3
Source: RefSeq, a predicted model, not a curated record
CAACCAAACGUCACUUCCGCUCUGAGGAGAAUCGGGUGUACGGUGCUCAGCCUGUCCCGCGGCGCUUCCGCCCUCUCGAGCCCAGGCUGCAGAGCAACAUCCAUGUUUUGCUCCAGCUCAGUCCAUCCUUCCAGGGACCAGAAAAGGGAAAUGGCUGCAAUGGAGCCAGUCAAGGGGCCAGUGACCUUCGAGGAGGUGGCUGUGUAUUUCACC